GGCUGCCUGACUCAGCUGGUAGAGUGUGGGACUCCUGAUCUCAGAGCCAUGAGUUCCAGCCCCAUGCCAGCCA
RNAcentral lists this transfer RNA (73 nucleotides) under Ailuropoda melanoleuca (giant panda). It matches the Rfam family "tRNA". Rfam says of the family: Transfer RNA (tRNA) molecules are approximately 80 nucleotides in length. Their secondary structure includes four short double-helical elements and three loops (D, anti-codon, and T loops). Further hydrogen bonds mediate the characteristic L-shaped molecular structure. tRNAs have two regions of fundamental functional importance: the anti-codon, which is responsible for specific mRNA codon recognition, and the 3' end, to which the tRNAs corresponding amino acid is attached (by aminoacyl-tRNA synthetases). tRNAs cope with the degeneracy of the genetic code in two manners: having more than one tRNA (with a specific anti-codon) for a particular amino acid; and 'wobble' base-pairing, i.e. permitting non-standard base-pairing at the 3rd anti-codon position. The record is from Rfam by way of RNAcentral. Lineage: Eukaryota; Metazoa; Chordata; Mammalia; Carnivora; Ursidae.